UACGUAGGGGGCAAGCGUUGUCCGGAAUCAUUGGGCGUAAAGAGCGCGUAGGCGGUCCGGUAAGUCCGCUCUGAAAGUCCGGGGCUCAACCCCGGGAGGCGGGCGGAUACUGGCGGGCUAGAGUCCGGAAGAGGCGAGUGGAACUCCUGGUGUAGCGGUGAAAUGCGCCGAUAUCAGGAGGAACACCAGUGGCGAAGGCAGCUCGCUGGGACGGUACUGACGCUGAGGCGCGAAAGCGUGGGGAGCAAACAGG
RNAcentral lists this ribosomal RNA (253 nucleotides) under uncultured bacterium. RNAcentral describes it as "partial 16S ribosomal RNA". It matches the Rfam family "Bacterial small subunit ribosomal RNA", at positions 524 to 776 of the family's 1533-position model. The record is from RNAcentral.